AUUGAACGCUGGCGGUAUGCCUUACACAUGCAAGUCGAACGGUAGAGGGGCAACCCUUGAGAGUGGCGAACGGGUGAGUAAUACAUCGGAACGUGCCCAGUCGUGGGGGAUAACGUAGCGAAAGCUACGCUAAUACCGCAUACGACCCGAGGGUGAAAGCGGGGGACUCGCAAGGGCCUCGCGCGAUUGGAGCGGCCGAUGGCAGAUUAGGUAGGUGGUGGGGUAAAGGCCCACCAAGCCUGCGAUCUGUAGCUGGUCUGAGAGGACGACCAGCCACACUGGGACUGAGACACGGCCCAGACUCCUACGGGAGGCAGCAGUGGGGAAUUUUGGACAAUGGGCGAAAGCCUGAUCCAGCCAUACCGCGUGCGGGAAGAAGGCCUUCGGGUUGUAAACCGCUUUUGUCAGGGAAGAAAUCUUCUGGGUUAAUACCUCGGGAGGAUGACGGUACCUGAAGAAUAAGCACCGGCUAACUACGUGCCAGCCGCCGCCGUAA
Molecule: ribosomal RNA, 496 nt
Filed under: uncultured bacterium
Lineage: Bacteria
Description: partial 16S ribosomal RNA
Rfam family: Bacterial small subunit ribosomal RNA
Source: RNAcentral